This 256-nucleotide ribosomal RNA is filed under the name uncultured bacterium. Its description in RNAcentral is "partial 16S ribosomal RNA". It matches the Rfam family "Bacterial small subunit ribosomal RNA", at positions 524 to 776 of the family's 1533-position model. The record is from RNAcentral.
UACGGAGGGAGCUAGCGUUGUUCGGAAUUACGUGGGCGUAAAGCGCACGUAGGCGGCUUUGUAAGUUAGAGGUGAAAGCCCGGGGCUCAACUCCGGACUGCCUUUAAGACUGCAUCGCUUGAAUCCAGGAGAGGUGAGUGGAAUUCCGAGUGUAGAGGUGAAAUUCGUAGAUAUUCGGAAGAACACCAGUGGCGAAGGCGGCUGACACUGGAGCUGGUAUUGACGCUGAGGUGCGAAAGCGUGGGGAGCGAACAGG